GCGGAGGAGCCGCACCCGGAGCCCAGCCCCGCGCCUGCAGCCCGAGGUACCCGUGCAGACGCCUGGGCCGCGGGUUGCAAACCGCAGAGCGGCCGUCCUGCUCCUUCUCUUCCACCGACACCUCGCAUGUGUUCACAGAGAGACAGAGAGGCAGAGACCCAGGCAGAGGGAGAAGCAGGCUCCAUGCACCGGGAGCCCGACGUGGGAUUCGAUCCCGGGUCUCCAGGAUCGCGCCCUGGGCCAAAGGCAGGCGCCAAACCGCUGCGCCACCCAGGGAUCCCUCUUUUUCCUCAUUAAACAAUGACUCCCAACGUUCCCUCCUCCCAGCGCCUGAAAACCACCAUUCCACUUUAUGUCUCCUUAAAUUUGACUCCUAAUAUUCCAUGGCUGAGGUCAGUGAUGAUAAUGAAAAUGUCAGUAUUUGUUUGGGACCAAUGAAUCAAUGGACAAAGAAAAGAUUUUAUUUAUUUUUUUUCAUGAGAGACACAGAAAGAGAGAGGCAGAGACACAGGCAGAGGGAGAAGCAGGCUCCAUGCAAGGAACCCAACGUGGGACCUGAUCCCGGGAUCCAAGAUCACGCCCUGGGGCUGAAGGCAGACGCUAAACUGCUGAGUCAUUCGGGGAUCCCUCAACCCCCCAAAUCUUAUCAUCUUCAAAUCAGAAGAGUCUUCCUCAAAACACAGCUUACUUGCUUGUUUGUUUUCUCUCAUUCUUUUUUUUUUCUUUUUUUACAGUAUAAUGGGUUAAUAGAUAAAAGUUGAGUUUUAUCAAAAGGUAUUGAGUUAAAAGGAUAUUGAAAACAAUGUGAAUUUCUUUAGUUUGAAAUUUAUUUGAGCGAUUAUUACCAUUUUAUGUAAUAAAAUAUUCAAGAACUGUAUAGAAUAUAGGUUCAUAUUUACUGACAAAGUUCAAAGCAAUAAUUUUCCUUUGCAAAGCAUGGUUAAUAAUAACUCGUUGCUGUUUUAUCCAGGUUAUAAUCUGAUUUUCUUCCAUUUUCUACUCAGAAAUUUGCUUUCUAAAAAGGUGUGCAUAUGAAAUAUGUAAAUAAUAGUCUAAAUAUGAAUUUUUCUGAAAUUGUAAUCUCAUUCAGUAUGAAUUGCAUUCAAAAGUUUGUGUUUCACUUUCCUCCUCUACUAAUACAAUAGCAAGCAAGGUAUGUUUUUUACUAAACUAUGAUUACUUCAAAAUCUGUGCCCAGUUACCCCAGUGUACUUAGACAAGGUGCCACGUUAUACUUACGCUAUUCCAUGUGUAAGUUGAAAGGCAUUGGUCUGGUUGAAGAAAAUAAAAUCUGAGAUCAAUAGACAACUGAACGAGAAAAGUUUACUCGAGGACAGUAGUGUAAACAUUUCUACAUUUUAUUCAAUAAUUCCAGCUUACCACUUUAACUUUUAUUCUUAGGUAAAAGUAAUUCAUUAUGAUGUGAAUAUAGACAAAGUUCUUCACUCCUCAUAAGUAAGAUCAACAAACUAUUUAACAUCAUUGUAACUUUCCUAUCUGUGAGCAAAAACAAGAACAUAUUGAUAGAUCCUGUGGUAUUUUUAUUUAGGAAGAACAAUUUUAAGGUCCCAAAAUGAAUUUUUGAACUAUAUAUACACUAUAUCUCCCUAUUAUUUUUUUGUCUAAAUUUCAACUGAUCUAAUUUGAUUGCAGUGUGUUUCUUUUUAAUUUUUUAGUGAGAUAGUAGGAAGAAAUUUAAAUGAGGUUUUGUUUGUUUCUUUUACUUAAUGUAUAUCUUUUUAUUAUCCUAUAUCAUCCGUAGAUUGGAAAGAGAAUGUGGUUUAGGGUAUAAGAGCACAUUUCUAGAAGUAGGCUCUGUGCAUGAAUUCACUUCUCUGAAAAAAAUAGUCACUUCAACUCUUAUUUUAAAAGUGAAUAUGAGGGGAUCCCUGGUGGCGCAGCGGUUUGGCGCCUGCCU
Molecule: long non-coding RNA, 1918 nt
Organism: Canis lupus familiaris (dog)
Lineage: Eukaryota; Metazoa; Chordata; Mammalia; Carnivora; Canidae
Exons: 4
Source: RefSeq, a predicted model, not a curated record